Molecule: long non-coding RNA, 944 nt
Organism: Nicotiana tabacum (common tobacco)
Lineage: Eukaryota; Viridiplantae; Streptophyta; Magnoliopsida; Solanales; Solanaceae
Source: RefSeq, a predicted model, not a curated record
UGUGAGGUGUCUACAAAGUGGUUAAAACCCUCUUUAUAUAGUAGAGUAAUUCUAACGGUUUCUGACACCAAAUAUUCUCCCUCCUCUUACUCGCCCGAUUUGAGAUAUAGCACGCGAUUGGAAGGUUCUGGAGAACGAUUGUUGGAUGAGUGUGAGGCGUUGGAUUGAUUUCACUCAAUCUGAGCCUCACAUUUAUCAAGGGCUCGUUGUCAAAAGGGACCAGAUCCAAUUUUGUAAGGGGAGGAGGAUUCAGAGGGAUUUUUAGAGAGGAUUUUGGAAAAGAAUUUGAGAGAUUUUUCUUCUUCAGCUUUUAUUGUUCUUUUAUUUCUGAUACUGGAACAACAAAAAAAAUCAUUGAGUGUUCGGCUAUUUCAUUUCAUGUCAAUUAUUGUUUAAAGUUUUUUUUUUCGAAAUCUCUAGAGUCCGUCUUCUUCAUUUUGAUUCUGGAUUUUGGUUUAAAAAUGGAAGUCAUUUGAGAAGUUCAAGGUUGUUGCUGCUCGAGGGUUGAUUUUCAGCUGCUAUUUGCUUCCUUUUGGUCGAUUUCAGUGUUGUAUUAAUUCAGUCUCUUAUUUCCAGGCUCAUUUCUCUGCCGCUGCGUUUAAUUUUUUGAGGUUAUGUGGAGUAAAUCAAAUUUGCCAGAAUUUCUUAUAUUGUUGCAUUCACCGGAAGUUCUUUCUAUUUAAACAAAUCUGGUGCCUUGGAGUGUUUUAUUAGCCAGGUUCUUUCAUAGUAGUUGCUUGAUUUUGUAUUCAAUUUGUACUCCAUGACAAUGAAACACUAUUGAAUGUAUGAAGAAAGAAAGUCAGAAGAGUUUGGCAUUAAAAGUUUGUCCAGUAUAGUGAGACAGGGGUCAGUUUAUUUUCUGUUCGUUCAUCAAAUUGUUUUCUUUGCUAAUGAUGUCCCUAUCAGUUUAAGUUCAAAUCAUAUCUUAUUAUUUUACGUAU